RNAcentral lists this ribosomal RNA (253 nucleotides) under uncultured bacterium. RNAcentral's name for it is "partial 16S ribosomal RNA". It matches the Rfam family "Bacterial small subunit ribosomal RNA", at positions 524 to 776 of the family's 1533-position model. The record is from RNAcentral.
UACGAAGGGGGCUAGCGUUGUUCGGAAUUACUGGGCGGAAAGCGCACGUAGGCGGAAUGUUAAGUCAGGGGUGAAAUCCCGGGGCUCAACCCCGGAACUGCCUUUGAUACUGGCAUUCUCGAGUCCGGAAGAGGUGAGUGGAAUUCCGAGUGUAGAGGUGAAAUUCGUAGAUAUUCGGAGGAACACCAGUGGCGAAGGCGGCUCACUGGUCCGGUACUGACGCUGAGGUGCGAAAGCGUGGGGAGCAAACAGG